UACGUAGGUGACCAGCGUUGUCCGGAAUCAUUGGGCGUAAAGCGCGUGUAGGCGGUCCGGUAAGUCCGCUGUGAAAGUCGGGGGCUCAACCCUCGAAUGCCGGUGGAUACUGUCGGGCUAGAGUGCGGAAGAGGCGAGUGGAAUUCCUGGUGUAGCGGUGAAAUGCGCAGAUAUCAGGAGGAACACCAAUUGCGAAGGCAGCUCGCUGGGACGUUACUGACGCUGAGACGCGAAAGCGUGGGGAGCAAACAGG
RNAcentral lists this ribosomal RNA (253 nucleotides) under uncultured bacterium. Its description in RNAcentral is "partial 16S ribosomal RNA". It matches the Rfam family "Bacterial small subunit ribosomal RNA", at positions 524 to 776 of the family's 1533-position model. The record is from RNAcentral.